This 1089-nucleotide ribosomal RNA is filed under the name human gut metagenome. RNAcentral describes it as "bacterial SSU rRNA". It matches the Rfam family "Bacterial small subunit ribosomal RNA", at positions 386 to 1520 of the family's 1533-position model. The record is from RNAcentral.
AUGCAGCAACGCCGCGUGAAGGAUGAAGGCCUUCGGGUUGUAAACUUCUUUUAUGAGUGAAGAAUAUGACGGUAACUCAUGAAUAAGCACCGGCUAACUACGUGCCAGCAGCCGCGGUCAUACGUAGGGUGCAAGCAUUAUCCGGAGUGACUGGGCGUAAAGAGUUGCGUAGGCGGUUUAAUAAGUGAAUAGUGAAACCUGGUGGCUCAACCAUACAGACUAUUAUUCAAACUGUUAAACUCGAGAAUGGUAGAGGUAACUGGAAUUUCUAGUGUAGGAGUGAAAUCCGUAGAUAUUAGAAGGAACACCGAUGGCGUAGGCAGGUUACUGGGCCAUUUCUGACGCUAAGGCACGAAAGCGUGGGGAGCGAACCGGAUUAGAUACCCGGGUAGUCCACGCCGUAAACGAUGGAUACUAGCUGUUGGAGGUAUCGACCCCUUCAGUAGCGAAGCUAACGCGUUAAGUAUCCCGCCUGUGGAGUACGGCCGCAAGGCUAAAACAUAAAGGAAUUGACGGGGACCCGCACAAGCGGUGGAUUAUGUUCUUUAAUUCGAUGAUAACCGAAGAACCUUACCAGGGCUUGACAUCCAGGGAAGGUCUGCGAAAGUAGACUGUGCCUUUUGGAACCCUGUGACAGGUGAUGCAUGGCCGUCGUCAGCUCGUGUCGUGAGAUGUUAGGUUAAGUCCUUCAACGAGCGCAACCCUUGUGAAUAGUUGUAUUUUUCUAUUCAGACUGCCCCGGUAACGGGGAGGAAGGAGGGGAUGAUGUCAGGUCAGUAUUUCCCUUACGUCCUGGGCUAGAAACGUAAUACAAUGGCUAGUACAAUGCGCAGCGAAGCCGCGAGGUGAAGCAAAUCGCAUCAAAGCUAGUCCCAGUUCGGAUUGUAGGCUGAAACUCGCCUGCAUGAAGUCGGAAUCGCUAGUAAUCGCAAAUCAGCAAGUUGCGGUGAAUACGUUCCCGGGUCUUGUACACACCGCCCGUCAAACCAUGAAAGUGACCAACACCCGAAGUCCGAUUCGUCGGCCUAAGGUGGGGGGCAUGAUUGGGGUUAAGUCGUAACAAGGUAUCCGUACCGGAAGGUGCGGAUG